UGCAAGUCGAGCGGAGAUUAAAAAGCUUGCUUUUUAAUCUUAGCGGCGGACGGGUGAGUAACGCGUGGGUAACCUGCCCUAUACACACGGAUAACAUAUCGAAAGAUAUGCUAAUACGAGAUAACACAUUUUUAAGGCAUCUUAGAAAUGUCAAAGCGUUAGCGGUAUAGGAUGGACCCGCGUCCCAUUAGCUAGUUGGUGAGAUAAAAGCUUACCAAGGCGACGAUGGGUAGCCGACCUGAGAGGGUGAUCGGCCACACUGGAACUGAGACACGGUCCAGACUCCUACGGGAGGCAGCAGUGGGGAAUAUUGCACAAUGGGGGAAACCCUGAUGCAGCAACGCCGCGUGAGCGAUGAAGGCCUUCGGGUCGUAAAGCUCUGUCCUAAGGGAAGAUAAUGACGGUACCUUAGGAGGAAGCCCCGGCUAACUACGUGCCAGCAGCCGCGGUAAUACGUAGGGGGCAAGCGUUAUCCGGAAUUACUGGGCGUAAAGGGUGCGUAGGCGGCCUUGUAAGUCAGAAGUGAAAGGCUACGGCUCAACCGUAGUAAGCUUUUGAAACUGCAGGGCUUGAGUGCAGGAGAGGAGAGUAGAAUUCCUAGUGUAGCGGUGAAAUGCGUAGAUAUUAGGAGGAAUACCAGUUGCGAAGGCGGCUCUCUGGACUGUAACUGACGCUGAGGCACGAAAGCGUGGGGAGCGAACAGGAUUAGAUACCCUGGUAGUCCACGCCGUAAACGAUGAGUGCUAGGUGUCGGGGGUUACCCCCCUCGGUGCCGCAGCUAACGCAUUAAGCACUCCGCCUGGGGAGUACGCUCGCAAGAGUGAAACUCAAAGGAAUUGA
RNAcentral lists this ribosomal RNA (840 nucleotides) under uncultured Clostridia bacterium. RNAcentral describes it as "bacterial SSU rRNA". It matches the Rfam family "Bacterial small subunit ribosomal RNA", at positions 56 to 913 of the family's 1533-position model. The record is from RNAcentral. Lineage: Bacteria; Bacillati; Bacillota; Clostridia.